ACGCACGUUGGCGGCGUGCUUCAUCCCUGCCAGUCACCUGAAGCAGUGGUAGCAAUAUCGCUGUGGAGGUGGCGCACGGGUGAGUAACACGUAGGUAAUCUGCCUUCAGGUCUGGCAUAACUCCGGGAAACCGGGGCUAAUAGCAGAUGAUGCAGCGGCUCGACAUCGAGACAGUUGUUAAAGCUAUGGCGCCUGAAGAUGAGCCUGCGUCUGAUUAGCUAGUUGGCGGGGUAACGGCCCACCAAGGCAACGAUCAGUAGCUGGUCUGAGAGGAUGAUCAGCCACACUGGAACUGAGACACGGUCCAGACUCCUACGGGAGGCAGCAGUAAGGAAUAUUGCUCAAUGGGAGAAAUCCUGAAGCAGCAACGCCGCGUGAGGGACGAAGGGCUUUUGCUUGUAAACCUCUGUAGUGAGAGAAAAAAAUCCCAAUCUUUGGGACAUGAUGGUAUCUCAAAAGUAAGCCCCGGCUAACUACGUG
This 480-nucleotide ribosomal RNA is filed under the name uncultured bacterium. RNAcentral describes it as "partial 16S ribosomal RNA". It matches the Rfam family "Bacterial small subunit ribosomal RNA", at positions 29 to 507 of the family's 1533-position model. The record is from RNAcentral.